UACAGAGGGGGCAAGCGUUGUUCGGAAUUACUGGGCGUAAAGGGCGCGUAGGCGGCCUGCUAAGUCAGACGUGAAAUCCCUCGGCUUAACCGGGGAACUGCGUCUGAUACUGGUUGGCUUGAAUCCGGGAGAGGGAUGUGGAAUUCCAGGUGUAGCGGUGAAAUGCGUAGAUAUCUGGAGGAACACCGGUGGCGAAGGCGGCAUCCUGGACCGGUAUUGACGCUGAAGAGCGAAAGCCAGGGGAGCAAACGGG
RNAcentral lists this ribosomal RNA (253 nucleotides) under uncultured bacterium. RNAcentral's name for it is "partial 16S ribosomal RNA". It matches the Rfam family "Bacterial small subunit ribosomal RNA", at positions 524 to 776 of the family's 1533-position model. The record is from RNAcentral.